RNAcentral lists this long non-coding RNA (2943 nucleotides) under Oreochromis niloticus (Nile tilapia). RNAcentral's name for it is "lncRNA (ENSONIG00000032427.1)". Lineage: Eukaryota; Metazoa; Chordata; Actinopteri; Cichliformes; Cichlidae. The record is from RNAcentral.
GGGUCAGGAAAAACAGUUCUAGCGUUUCAGAUUUGGAGGCAGAUGCAUAAUGUUAGAUGUACGAUGUUUUGUACAGAUAUACGUUUCAUUAUCACAUCAUCAUCUUAUUUAGUGUAUGAUGCAUGCAUCUACAAAAACUUGAAGGAAGUGAUAAAAGGAAACAACUCAUUGAGUAACUUCAGUUUUCUGAUGAUCUGACAGACAGACGGAGUGAAGAGACACACUGUUCUUCUGAAGUUUAACAACUUUUCUGCAUCAGGAUCAAAGUCAGAAUGAAAAUCCUCCAUUUUCUAUUUUUCUGCUUCUUUUCAGAUCCAGCUCGGCUCGUCAAGGCAAAACAUAAUAUCUGGUCUGCUGCUGAAAGAGCAAAUGGUACACUUAGCUGCAACUUAUUUUUGUCUGGAAGCACAAAGUUUUUCUGCAAGGAAAAAUGUGUGCGAGCAGAAGAUACCCUCAUUAAAACAGAUGGAAGCACAGCUCAGAGUGGGAGAUUCAGCAUUAAAUAUGAAGAUGGAGCUUCAGGAAGUGGAACUUUGCUUUUGUUCUUCACACACCUGAUCAAGUCUGACUCAGGAAUGUACAGGUGUGCUUUGGGAAGCUCUUCUGUUCCAGAUUCUUACUAUGACUUUGAGGUCAGAGUUUCAAAUGAUCUGGAUAAAAAUGCUGGUUUUUAUCGCACCGAAACUGAAGGAGAAAAGAUCACAAUGGCAUGUUCCAACAACACAUAUGGACACAGGAAGUUCUUAUGUAAGAAUCAGUGUAAGAAUGAAGGGGAGAUCCUCAUUGACACAACUAAUAACAAAUCUGUGAGUGGCAGAUAUGAAAUUGAAUACAGACCAGGAUCCAUGUAUGGACUGUAUAUGAACAUCAGAAAGCUGACCAAGUCAGACACAGGAUGGUACUUGUGUGGGUAUGGAAACCCUCUGUCUCCUGAUUCAUACGCCAGAGAAUAUGUUCUUGUCAUUGAUGAUACAAACCCAGUUAUUUCCACACCACAAGGAACAACACAGAGUGAAAGUGUCACUCCAGGAGUCUCUACACAUGGUCCUGACUCCUCCUGGCUUCUGGUUGUGCGUGUGUCCUUGGAUGGUGUUUUGCUGAUGGCUGUUUUCCUCAUGCUCUUCUACAUUAGUAAGACAAGGAGGAACUUUGGACUGAACACCAGAGAAAAUGACACAAACAUGGAGGUGAGUUUGUGUCACUUGUUUUCUGUCUGUUGUUGCAGGUUUCAGUGAGUGUUGUUGAUUCAUGCUGUCAGUGUGACUUUCUCAGUGAAAUGUAGUGAAAAGAGGUGAUUAUCAAAGUUUCUUUAAUCAUACCGUCUUCACUACCAGAGGGAAGUGAAGACAAGUUGAACAAUUUUUAUAACAGACAGAAAGCUUUUCUAUAAUUAUGUACUUACAUAAUUAUAGAAAAGCUUUCUCUAGAAAAAACCUUGUGCUUCUUAUUUUUAAAGUUCAGUUUGCAUAAAACUGCGAUUUUCCAUGAGCUUAUUAAAAAUCUGUUUUGCAUCUCAGUUUUUGGGUUUUUUGUUUUUGUUUUUUGCCUGUCCCUUUCGGCACUGAAGCAAUCGGAAUUGUUGUCUGAAGGCCAAGAAAAAUGUCCAACGGAUUUAUUUUUCCAAAUGGAUCUUCAUGGCUUUGCCACAUUGUUCAAUUUGAAAUGUAUUUAUUUGUUUAUUCAUUUUAUUUAUUGCAUCUCAGGUUUUAUUUUAAUUUUUUUUUUUUCCAUUUUCAGUUAUCUGUCGGGUAUGAGAACUGGGAUCCAGCCUCCAAACAUGAUGAGUCCAAAAGCAGCAGGACCAAACCUACUCUGUAUUAUUAAAGACCAAAAUGUAAAAAGUAAAAAUUAAAUUUGACCAUCUACUCCCCGGGGUUAUCUGCUCUUCGAGGUUUGUUCCAUUUUGAUAUUUUUGGACCUAUAUCUGAUAUUUCAUGAUCACCUCCCAUAUAAUUUGCAUCACUAGGCUUCAUUUUGUUCCUGUUAUUCAAAUGCAUACACAUAUUGACACAGUUAAUUACAGACAUGGAAAGUAACAAAGUUUUUCAUUUUUUUUAAAAUGUUUUCAUAAAGAACAGCUGAUGUACUAGGUUGACUCCUUUUCCACCAUCAUUUCAUUUUCAUAUUUUUUAACAUAUUUCUGUAAUUUCAUAAUCAGCUCUCAUAUAAUUUACUUCACUGUGUUCCUUGCUGUAUAAUAGCUGUAUUUAAAUGUAGCAUGUAAAACUGAUUCAAUGUUAUGAUAAAGAAGAACAUAGUCUCUGUUUUGCAGUAAGGUUUUUGCUUUCUUUGAAGUUAUUCUUCCCCAAAAUUAACUGUAACUGAAACAGGUUUUACACAUUUGGUUUUAUUUCAUACAUUUUUGUUUUUAUUUUCAUGUAUGUGCUUACUUAUGCAAUGUAUUUGAAACUACUAGCUUCUGUUAGAAGGUGCAGAAAAAUUAAACAUAUUUUGAAAAUGCAAAAUAAUGUGAUGGUUCCUUAAAUGAAUUAGACACAUACAGAGUGCUCUACAAUGAUAAGUCUGUGCUAUUCAGGAAAACAAGAAACGAUAAAACAAACAGGGGAAAUACAAUCGAUAGUUGGAGCAGGAGUCUGAUUAAGGGAUGUCCAAAUGGUCAACAGCAUUUACUAAACAGUUUUUUCGACCUGUGGUAGCUGAUCCUGAUGAGGAUAACUGGAAGAGGAUGAAGAGAUGAAUUGAAAUUCUGAGCCAUGACAGCAGCCUUGAUCCACAGGGGAUGAAGUCAGAUGUAGAGAUCACUGUUAAAUGGGAACUGAUAAUAACUGAUUAUCCAGGCUGGUGUCAGGGCCUUUACAUAAGCAGCUCCUCUGUUGAUCCUUUUGUUUUUGUGUUUAUUUUUUUUAAAUAAACAAUUGUUAUGUUCAGGUGUUCAAUCGAUCUGUAGUAAUUAAGGUAGCUGGUAAUAAACUGUUCACACAC